GCUCCCGUAGCGCAACGGAUAGAGCGCCACGCUUCGGACGUGGAGGUUCCAGGUUCGAAUCCUGGCGGGAGCGCCA
RNAcentral lists this transfer RNA (76 nucleotides) under Candidatus Komeilibacteria bacterium. RNAcentral describes it as "tRNA-Arg". It matches the Rfam family "tRNA". Rfam says of the family: Transfer RNA (tRNA) molecules are approximately 80 nucleotides in length. Their secondary structure includes four short double-helical elements and three loops (D, anti-codon, and T loops). Lineage: Bacteria; Candidatus Komeiliibacteriota. The record is from RNAcentral.